UUGAUUCUCAACUCAUUAUUUAACUGUUAACACAUGGGGAUCACACACCUCGAAUUCAUUUCAUAUUUCAGCAAUCCUACUAGUUUGACUAGUUGAAAUACACGAAAAAAGGAUUAAACUAACUAAAGCCAAUGAAUAACUCACAGUUAAAAGUCCACAGUCUAUUACAGUUCAAAACAAUCCUAUUUUAACUACAGUGGACAACUAAUCACAUCACAGGAGAACUAUCCAAAACAUAACAAAAUUAUUUAAAUUGCAGUUCCUCAGCAGAAAUUCAGCUUCAGUUUCAUUUCAUGUUUUCAACAGGUGAAGCUACAUCAACAUAGUCCCAAAGUGUGUAGCUGGCAAUGGAAAUACAGUGAAGGAGAAGAAGAAACAGCAAUAGUAACACACAACAGAUCAGGUAACAGCUCAGGAAGAUUUUGAGAGCAAAACAAAAUUAGGAAAUCAAUCACAAUCACUUGAAUACACCCAGAUAUGGUUGAAAAUGCACUAGAAUACUUCACAGAAACACAUCACCCAAGAGCUGACCCCAGAAUAACUCAAUUGAGACCAAAAACCAAUGGAAAACAAACAAGUAUAUCUCUGAAACCAGGGAAAUCAGAAACUGAACUAGAAAAAUGUAAAUCAAUAGCUAAAAGUUCAAAUUCACCUAAUGUUCUAAUGGAACUGUAGUGUUUUGGAUUUUUAAAAGUUUUCUAUUAUUUUUUUUUUUGUUUUUUAUUUUUUGAAGAAAGCUAAGAUCUAAAGGAGUUGUUUGAUCUGAAAUUCGACUUUCAGAUCUGUGAAGCUUGAGGAGUAGUUGGUGGGAAUUUUUUGAGGCCUCAAACUUGUUAAACAAGGCAAUGAUCAUGCCUUUUUAUAGACAAAGCUAAGAGAUUUUCAGAUUUUCCAACUCUACACAUCAGUCCCUCACCUCAACCCUCCUCCAAACUAUCUAAAAACACUAUCAGCUAUAACCACACAGCUUAAUAAAGUAGGAUUAAAUAAACAAAACUACAAUCAACCAUCCAAAAUCAAACAAAACCCCUAACAGGAAAAGUUAAACUCAUUAUGAAUCCUAAAUCAAAAUGUAGUGACUAAUUAGUUAAACACAGAAUCAAACUUAUUAAAAUAGACUACAAUUUUAUAUGGAAACAUAACUUAUUAAUCAACAUGAAGCAACUAAUCAAAAAUACCAAAAUGCAUUUAACUAAUCGCACCAUGAUUAACACCAAAUCAAACACAAAUGACUUAACGAACAACACCCAAUAUUUAUCAAAAGAGAAUGAAGAAUAAACAAAGAACUAACCUCAUUAGAUACCAGUUUAAUUGGCAGAAAUAUCAGUCCAUAAGAGAAAAAUAAUGAAGAAGGACCAAAAGACCUUACCUAUAGAGCCUGGAACAGAGACUAGAAAACUUGAUUCGAGCCUUAGAAUAAUGUAAAUGUUUGUACUUAUCAAAGAACAAACGAACACGUUAUUUCGUUAUUCCAAUCCAAUACCAAACUCAGGCAAUCAGCAAAAAUUGAGCAAACUUGAACUCUUACGGUUCUUCCUUCUCUAUGAUUUUAGAUUCGAGAAGUUCUCUUGAUGUUUGAAGGAAACCAAUGGGGAAUUCAAGUAGAGGGGAACCAGGAGAGUAUAAGGUGUGUUUUUGAGGUCAUUUAGUGGUGGCGACGCCACUAGAUAACUUAUGGCGGCACUAGGGUUCAGAGCUUCAAAUCAAAAUUCGAGGGGUUUGGGGUUGAUUCGAGAAAAAGAAGCUAUGGAUUCGGAUAGAGGGUAAGGAAAUGAGUAAAUAGUGUAUUUUUCGGGUGGUUUGGAGAUGGGCCGCCGGCAAAGACGAUUUUCGAUCGGUGGCGUGAGGUGGCGUGACACAGGGUGUUCUGAGAGAGAUGAAACCNNN
This 1887-nucleotide long non-coding RNA is filed under the name Nicotiana benthamiana. Its description in RNAcentral is "long non-coding RNA (NBEN_LNC022065)". The record is from RNAcentral. Lineage: Eukaryota; Viridiplantae; Streptophyta; Magnoliopsida; Solanales; Solanaceae.